CCUACGGGUGACAGCAGUGAGGAAUAUUGGUCUAUGGGCGCAAGCCUGAACCAGCCAAGUAGCGUGCAGGAUGACGGCCCUACGGGUUGUAAACUGCUUUUAUGAGGGGAUAAACUGAGGCACGUGUGCCUUUUUGUAUGUACUUUAUGAAUAAGGAUCGGCUAACUCCGUGCCAGCAGCCGCGGUAAUACGGAGGGUCCGAGCGUUAUCCGGAUUUAUUGGGUUUAAAGGGAGCGUAGGUGGGUUGUUAAGUCAGUUGUGAAAGUUUGCGGCUCAACCGUAAAAUUGCAAUUGAUACUGGCAGUCUUGAGUACAGCUGAGGUAGGCGGAAUUCGUGGUGUAGCGGUGAAAUGCUUAGAUAUCACGAAGAACUCCGAUUGCGAAGGCAGCUUACUAAACUGUCACUGACAUUGAGGCUCGAAAGUGUGGGUAUCAAACAGGAUUAGAUACCCCUGUAGUC
RNAcentral lists this ribosomal RNA (460 nucleotides) under uncultured bacterium. RNAcentral's name for it is "partial 16S ribosomal RNA". It matches the Rfam family "Bacterial small subunit ribosomal RNA", at positions 338 to 795 of the family's 1533-position model. The record is from RNAcentral.